Molecule: ribosomal RNA, 763 nt
Filed under: uncultured Streptococcus sp.
Lineage: Bacteria; Bacillati; Bacillota; Bacilli; Lactobacillales; Streptococcaceae
Description: bacterial SSU rRNA
Rfam family: Bacterial small subunit ribosomal RNA
Source: RNAcentral
GACGAACGCUGGCGGCGUGCCUAAUACAUGCAAAUAGAACGCUGAAGGAGGAGCUUGCUUCUCCGGAUGAGUUGCGAACGGGUGAGUAACGCGUAGGUAACCUGCCUGGUAGCGGGGGAUAACUAAUGGAAACGAUAGCUAAUACCGCAUAAGAGUAGAUGUUGCAUGACAUUUGCUUAAAAGGUGCAAUUGCAUCACUACCAGAUGGACCUGCGUUGUAUUAGCUAGUUGGUGGGGUAACGGCUCACCAAGGCGACGAUACAUAGCCGACCUGAGAGGGUGAUCGGCCACACUGGGACUGAGACACGGCCCAGACUCCUACGGGAGGCAGCAGUAGGGAAUCUUCGGCAAUGGACGGAAGUCUGACCGAGCAACGCCGCGUGAGUGAAGAAGGUUUUCGGAUCGUAAAGCUCUGUUGUAAGAGAAGAACGAGUGUGAGAGUGGAAAGUUCACACUGUGACGGUAUCUUACCAGAAAGGGACGGCUAACUACGUGCCAGCAGCCGCGGUAAUACGUAGGUCCCGAGCGUUGUCCGGAUUUAUUGGGCGUAAAGCGAGCGCAGGCGGUUAGAUAAGUCUGAAGUUAAAGGCUGUGGCUUAACCAUAGUACGCUUUGGAAACUGUUUAACUUGAGUGCAAGAGGGGAGAGUGGAAUUCCAUGUGUAGCGGUGAAAUGCGUAGAUAUAUGGAGGAACACCGGUGGCGAAAGCGGCUCUCUGGCUUGUAACUGACGCUGAGGCUCGAAAGCGUGGGGAGCAAACAGG